Molecule: ribosomal RNA, 404 nt
Filed under: Actinomycetes bacterium
Lineage: Bacteria; Bacillati; Actinomycetota; Actinomycetes
Description: Actinobacteria bacterium partial 16S ribosomal RNA
Rfam family: Bacterial small subunit ribosomal RNA
Source: RNAcentral
UGGGGAAUAUUGGACAAUGGGCGCAAGCCUGAUCCAGCCAUGCCGCGUGAGUGAUGAAGGCCCUAGGGUUGUAAAGCUCUUUCACCGGUGAAGAUAAUGACGGUAACCGGAGAAGAAGCCCCGGCUAACUUCGUGCCAGCAGCCGCGGUAAUACGAAGGGGGCUAGCGUUGUUCGGAUUUACUGGGCGUAAAGCGCACGUAGGCGGACUUUUAAGUCAGGGGUGAAAUCCCGGGGCUCAACCCCGGAACUGCCUUUGAUACUGGAAGUCUUGAGUAUGGUAGAGGUGAGUGGAAGUCCGAGUGUAGAGGUGAAAUUCGUAGAUAUUCGGAGGAACACCAGUGGCGAAGGCGGCUCACUGGACCAUUACUGCCGCUGAGGUGCGAAAGCGUGGGGAGCAAACAGG